CAAGCAGUCAGUCACACAUUUACUGUACUUUCAAACACAGCAGACACUGAGUGAAUCAUCACUUCAUCAUUCUGUUCAGAGACUGAAUAAGAAUAACCAUGGCGAAAAACACCAAUUAAUAUAAAAAAAGGAAUCAUGAGUGAUGAGAUGCAGCGGGACGCUCUUCAGUGCGCUCUUCUGGCUGUGAAUAUGUAUAAAAAGGGAUCAACAUUGCUAACUACAUCAAGAAGGAAUUUGACAGAAAGCAUCAGGCAUCCUGGCAAUGCAUUGUGGGGAGCACUGGUUACAGUGUGUCGCACAACAGCAACUGUUAUAUAAACUUCACAGUUGGCAAAAAACAUAUUGUGCUUUUCAAGGCACCCUGAGUGACAGUAACAGUUAAAACAUAUUUUAUGAAAAGAUGCUGGGGUGUAAGAGACUCAGGGUCUGCUAUUUUGUGGUGGCAUGAUUUUGUGGCAUAGGUCUGGUAGUUUAAUUAAACUUUAUCAUUUGCUGUGGGAUUAUUAAAUAUUAAAUAUUAACCUGUAUCAUAAUUUAAAGACUCUAAACAAGAUCAAAUCUUUGUUGAAAAACCUGUUGCACAAUCUAUUACAUGCCUUCUGUCGUCUGAUUGAUAUU
Long non-coding RNA from Cyprinus carpio (common carp), 618 nucleotides. RefSeq lists it as uncharacterized. The transcript has 3 exons. The record is from RefSeq and is a predicted model, not a curated record. NCBI's taxonomy places the organism in Eukaryota, Metazoa, Chordata, Actinopteri, Cypriniformes, Cyprinidae.